UCUGACAUGGUGUAGUGGCUAACAUUAUCGCCUUUCAUAGAAAUUGGAGCGCGAUAGCCCGGGGUUCGAUUCCCCGUAUUGGAA
This is a transfer RNA of Sphaerobolus stellatus SS14, 84 nucleotides long. It matches the Rfam family "tRNA". From Rfam's summary of the family: Transfer RNA (tRNA) molecules are approximately 80 nucleotides in length. The record is from Rfam. NCBI's taxonomy places the organism in Eukaryota, Fungi, Basidiomycota, Agaricomycetes, Geastrales, Sphaerobolaceae.